Molecule: ribosomal RNA, 1241 nt
Filed under: metagenome
Description: bacterial LSU rRNA
Rfam family: Bacterial large subunit ribosomal RNA
Source: RNAcentral
UGAAUACGAGACGCUACGGCGUCGAAGCAGUCUAUGUCAUACUUCCAAGAAAAGCUUGCACUGUCAUAAACAAAUAAUGCCUGUACCAUAACCGACACAGGUGGGUAGGUAGAGUAUACUAAGGGGCGCGAGAUAACUCUCUCUAAGGAACUCGGCAAAAUGACUCCGUAACUUCGGGAGAAGGAGUGCCUUAUUUAUAAGGUUGCAAUAACAAGAUCCAAGCAACUGUUUAUCAAAAACACAGGUCUCCGCUAAGUCGUAAGACGAUGUAUGGGGGCUGACGCCUGCCCAGUGCCAGAAGGUUAAAGAAGUUGGUUAGCAUUAGCGAAGCUGAUAACUGAAGCCCUGGUGAACGGCGGCCGUAACAAUAACGGUCCUAAGGUAGCGAAAUUCCUUGUCGGGUAAGUUCCGACCCGCACGAAAGGCGUAAUGAUUUGGAUACUGUCUCAGAGAGGGGCUCGGUGAAAUAGACUUGUCUGUGAAGAUGCGGACUACCUGCACCAGGACAGAAAGACCCUAUGAAGCUUUACUGUAACUUGAAAUUGAAAUUGGACUUUAUUUGCGCAGUAUAGGUGGGAGGCAUUGAUAAUAUUCUUGCGGGAAUGUUGGAGCCAUCAGUGAGAUACCACUCUUGUAAUGUUAGAUUUCUAACUUUGGAUCAUUAUCUGGUCAAAGGACAGUUUCAGGCGGGCAGUUUGACUGGGGCGGUCGCCUCCUAAAUGGUAACGGAGGCGCACAAAGGUUUCCUCUGAACGGGUAGAAAUCGUAUCUAGAGUGUAAAGGCAUAAGGAAGCUUGACUGUGAGACCUACAAGUCGAGCAGGGACGAAAGUCGGUCUUAGUGAUCUGACGGUGCUGAGUGGAAAGGCCGUCACUCAACGGAUAAAAGUUACUCUAGGAUAACAGGCUGAUCUCCCCCAAGAGUUCACAUCGACGGGGAGGUUUGGCACCUCGAUGUCGGCUCAUCGCAUCCUGGGGCGGUAGUACGUCCCAAGGGUUGGGCUGUUCGCCCAUGAAAGCGGUACGCGAGCUGGGUUCAGAACGUCGUGAGACAGUUCGGUCCAUAUCCGGUGUAGGCGUUAGAAUAUUGAGAGGAGCCUUCUUUAGUACGAGAGGACCGAGAAAGACAUACCUCUGGUGUACCAGUUAUCGUGCCAACGGUAAACGCUGGGUAGCUAUGUAUGGAGAGGAUAACCGCUGAAAGCAUCUAAGUGGGAAGCCCACCUCAAGAUAAGUAUUCAC